This 269-nucleotide ribosomal RNA is filed under the name uncultured bacterium. RNAcentral's name for it is "partial 16S ribosomal RNA". It matches the Rfam family "Bacterial small subunit ribosomal RNA", at positions 86 to 353 of the family's 1533-position model. The record is from RNAcentral.
CUUGGAUGAGUUGCGAACGGGUGAGUAACGCGUAGGUAACCUGCCUCAUACAGGGGGAUAACAGUUGGAAACGGCUGCUAAUACCGCAUAAGCGCACAGUACCGCAUGGUACGGUGUGAAAAACUCCGGUGGUAUAAGAUGGACCCGCGUUGGAUUAGCUAGUUGGUGGGGUAACGGCCCACCAAGGCGACGAUCCAUAGCCGGCCUGAGAGGGUGAACGGCCACAUUGGGACUGAGACACGGCCCAGACUCCUACGGGAGGCAGCAUG